Molecule: small RNA, 125 nt
Filed under: Marmota monax (woodchuck)
Lineage: Eukaryota; Metazoa; Chordata; Mammalia; Rodentia; Sciuridae
Source: RNAcentral
GCUGGGCAUGGUGGCACAUGCCUGUAAUCCCUGCGGCUUGGGAGGCUGAGGCAGGAGGAUCUCAAGUUCAAAGCCAGCCUCAGCAAAAGUGAAGCGCUAAACAGCUCAGUGAGACCCUGUCUCUA